CGCUGGCGGCGUGCCUAACACAUGCAAGUCGAGUGGUAACAGGUGUAGCAAUACAUGCUGACGAGCGGCGGACGGGUGAGUAACGCUUGGGAAUCUGCCUGUUAGUGGGGGACAACCCGGGGAAACUCGGGCUAAUACCGCAUACGCACUACGGUGGAAAGCCGGGGACCGCAAGGCCUGGCGCUAACAGAUGAGCCCAAGUCGGAUUAGCUAGUUGGUAGGGUAACGGCCUACCAAGGCGACGAUCCGUAACUGGUCUGAGAGGACGACCAGUCACACCGGAACUGAGACACGGUCCGGACUCCUACGGGAGGCAGCAGUGGGGAAUAUUGGACAAUGGGCGAAAGCCUGAUCCAGCGACGCCGCGUGGGUGAAGAAGGCCUGCGGGUUGUAAAGCCCUUUCGGUGGGGAAGAAAAGCCUCGAGCUAAUACCUCGGGGUCUUGACGUAACCCAUAGAAGAAGCACCGGCUAACUCUGUGUCAGCAGCCGCGGUAAUACAGAGGGUGCGAGCGUUAAUCGGAAUUACUGGGCGUAAAGCGCGCGUAGGCGGCUUUGCAAGUCGGGUGUGAAAUCCCCAGGCUUAACCUGGGAACAGCAUUCGAGACUGCAUUGCUAGAGUAUGGGAGAGGGAAGUGGAAUUUCCGGUGUAGCGGUGAAAUGCGUAGAUAUCGGAAGGAACAUCAGUGGCGAAAGCGACUUCCUGGACCAAUACUGACGCUCAUGUGCGAAAGCGUGGGGAGCAAACAGGAUUAGAUACCCUGGUAGUCCACGCCAUAAACGAUGAGAACUGGAUGUCGGGAGGGUCUGCCUCUCGGUGUCGUAGCUAACGCGUUAAGUUCUCCGCCUGGGGAGUACGGCCGCAAGGUUGAAACUCAAAUGAAUUGACGGGG
RNAcentral lists this ribosomal RNA (891 nucleotides) under uncultured Gammaproteobacteria bacterium. RNAcentral describes it as "bacterial SSU rRNA". It matches the Rfam family "Bacterial small subunit ribosomal RNA", at positions 34 to 918 of the family's 1533-position model. The record is from RNAcentral. Lineage: Bacteria; Pseudomonadati; Pseudomonadota; Gammaproteobacteria.